Molecule: long non-coding RNA, 900 nt
Filed under: Homo sapiens (human)
Lineage: Eukaryota; Metazoa; Chordata; Mammalia; Primates; Hominidae
Description: long non-coding RNA NONHSAT223280.1
Source: RNAcentral
UGCUGCCAUCAUGUAAGAAGAGCCUUUCACCUCCCGCCGUGAUUCUGAGGCUUCCCCAGCCACGUGGAACGGUUCCACUUCCCACAACACCUCUGCCACCAACCAAUUGAGGGUCUUCAGGAGAAGUGUUCUUAUCUGUGCAAUAGAGCCUGCCAGAAGGGGCACCUGGCAACCCUCUUCAGAGGCUUGAUCCUGUGCUGCAGAAACCUAUGGACCUGCUCAACCUGUGCACUGGAAUUCCAGGGAUAGACUGAGCUGUCCCUAGGAGGCUGGGAGCAUUCUCCAGCAGAGACCAGCAACUGCCUCCUGCCUGGAGAAUCUGGAAGGAGGAAGGGCGGCUGGAAUCACCUGUGAUGACUCCAGUGUGUCAGAGAAGACAGGAAGACCAAGAAACAGCCAAGGAGAGGGGCUGAGGAAUGAGAGAUGGAGGAGACAACAGAUUGUCCUUCCCAUUGCCAAACCUUAGGCCGGGCCUGAGGGGAUCAGACUGGGCAAUUGAAUCCUCAAAGGUUCCUGGAAGGACUACUUAGGAAUUGAAUGUGCUGAGACUUCCUCUCAAAGGAGCCCCUCCUUCUUAAAUGAAUCCAGGAGAGAAGUUCUGAAGACUGUGGUCUAUGCUAAAGGAAUGCAGAUAUUUAUAAAUGGUCAUCUGCAUUGAAUGAACCAAGUCCAAAUGACAAUCAAGGAGAACUGUAAACAUAGGAAAAGAGGGCUGAACCCAUGCUUCCAGGGAAGGAAGAAGAGAGAGAGAAAGAGAAGAGAAGAGAGAGAGAGAGAGACUGACUUGGACUCAGACUUGUGUACACAUGGAGAAUAGCGUCUGGCGCCAAGAACGCAGAGCGGCUGAGAACUGGUGUUUCUCCUCUUAGGAAAGAAAAUGACAGGGAAAGGAAGAAAAAU